AAAUUCCGAAUUUUCAAUCACAGGCAUAAUAUAUAGAGAAAUCAAUCAGUUGACAGUAGCGAUAAGCUAGAAAAAUUACCUGCAUGGAUCUCAUUAGCUUUUCCAUUUCAGCCUCUUUUGAGGACUUAGAAACAAACGGUUCUCCUGGAACUCUAUUCUGAAGCAAAAGAAGAAAGAAUACCAACCUAUGAAUGUGGAAGCUAAUUGUAUUGCUUAUUUAACAGCUAAAUCAGCAUGUAGCACCUAGGUAAGGUUCUCCUGGGGCUCUAUUCUGAAGUAAAAGAAGAAAGAAUACCAACCCAUGAAUGUGGAAGCUAAUUGUAUUGCUUAUUUAACAGCUAAAUCAGCAGGUAGCACCUAGAUAAUUAAGAAUUUAUCAGAGAACAUGCUAUACUAUGCUUAGAAGAAUAAAAAGCCUUCAAUCAAAUAACAAUGGAUUGGUGUGAUGAACUUUUCAUGGGUAGAAUACUGUCAUCCAAGGUUGUAAGGCACAAAAGCAGAUUUCAGAUGGCCGUAAUAAUGUAUGCUUCUGGCUCAGCACUUCAAAGGUUUUAGUCCAUAAACAUUUUGGUUCCAGCAUACAAAUACAUAUAUGCAUUAUUCGAUGCAUCUUUAAAUCAACAUCUUGCCAUGCAACAACAACAAUCCAAUAUAGACCCCCACAAGUGGGGUUUGGG
RNAcentral lists this long non-coding RNA (677 nucleotides) under Nicotiana benthamiana. Its description in RNAcentral is "long non-coding RNA (NBEN_LNC028522)". The record is from RNAcentral. Lineage: Eukaryota; Viridiplantae; Streptophyta; Magnoliopsida; Solanales; Solanaceae.